Molecule: long non-coding RNA, 453 nt
Organism: Mytilus californianus (California mussel)
Lineage: Eukaryota; Metazoa; Mollusca; Bivalvia; Mytilida; Mytilidae
Exons: 2
Source: RefSeq, a predicted model, not a curated record
UCGGAACACCUUUGGUCUCAUUCGCUUCGAUUAAAUAGGACAAAAUGGCAGCUUGCAGGUUGAUGUAAACAAAGCAAAGAAAAUUGAACAGAUGACAAGAAGACAAAGUGUUAGUUUGAAAUGAUUUUAAGCCAGGGAAUCAAGGUUAACAGCAUCUAGAUUUGGAGAAAUUUGCAAGGCAACAUGAAGGAGAAACACCGCCAAUCUUUGCGAGUCUUGCUGGAAGGAAUAUUUUUUUCAACACAAGCAACACUUCAUGGGAAAAACUAUGAAAAGAAGGCUUUAAAUGCCUUUGAAUCAAAAUCAAAACUGAAAACUUCUGCAUGUUGUUUGUUUAAUUUGUUUGUAUUGAUUAUCCCUAUUUAGGUGCAACACCGGAUGCCAUUGUUGGUGAUGAUGCACUAGUUGAGAUUAAAUGUCCUUUCAAGUAACGGAAUAAAAAAAUUAAACCUA